This is a small nucleolar RNA of Fukomys damarensis (Damara mole-rat), 131 nucleotides long. The record is from Ensembl. NCBI's taxonomy places the organism in Eukaryota, Metazoa, Chordata, Mammalia, Rodentia, Bathyergidae.
AGCCUCAUUCUGGAUAAGAAUGGGCACGGCUGACUUGCGUCCAAAAUCGGUCACUGCGGCUGAAUUGAGACAGGUGGUGCCUCUAUCAUAGUAAGUGUAUCACCAUGGUGACCAUAAAUCCUGCAACACUU